GUCUUGAAGUUCAUGAAGGCUUACUCUUACUGAUUCAGGGGCCACCUGCAUUAUUCGUAUUUUGGUACAACUUAAGUAUAGGAUAUGCACCUUCCAUUUGUCUAUGCAUAAUUUUUCUGCUCAUGCAUGGUGCAUACUUUUGACUUACAUAUGAUGUAUUCAGCGAUGUCAUUGGUGACUCGUGUGAAGUUGCUGUUUUUUAUUCAGGUGCAAUGACACCGUGACAGCCAUGGAGAAUAUAUGCAUGAAGCCGUGAGCAGGAGAGGCGUUUUAGCUCCCAGAGGGUGUUUCAGCGGUGUGCUCGAGGACGAGCAUUGACAGCGCGGGUGUCCGAUUUCCAGCGGCGCAGACAUGGCGAUGGAUUUCUCCAUCUCUCCGGUAGACAGGUUGCCCAUCUUCCUGGAUGAGGCGGCUAGCGUGGUGGCCCUAAUGGAUUUGAUUGGUGGCGAAGAGGAAUCCGCCAAUGGAUCUUGUGGGGCUGUUGUCGCCGGAUUUGCGCAUGACUCAUCUGGGCAGUUCGUACGUGGUGUUGUGUGCAGCAAGGAGAGGACUGUAGCUACCGGUGGUGCCGCCAUGUCCGGUUUCAGUGAGAGCGAGGGUGACAACGCAGAUGCAAUUGACCAAGCCGACGACCGAAGCACAUAUUGAUGAACACCAAGAGGCUGUGAUUUAAGAUCAAACUGAAAGUGGUGAUGGAGGGUCUGCUCAAUCUACUACUUGCAAGGUGGAUCCGCAAGCCCCUGGGUGGACUUAGAGAGUAAGAGUCGGGAAUCAGCCAACGGAUAGAGCCCCAUGCCCAGAAAGAUUAGAUGCGCUGGAGGAGACAAUUCGAGGGCAUGCAGAUAAAUUGGGGGACCAUGUAGUUGAGCCUGCUAUUGGCUUAACAUUCAACUCCUUGGGUGAAGCAUAUGAUUUUUGCAACCUUUAUUCGUGGGAGCAUGGUUUUGGUAUCAGGACACCCUGUCCCAGCGGGCUCGGCACACUCUCCGCUUCGCUGAAAUUAUAGGACACCCUGUCCCAGCAGGCUCAACACUCUCUGCUCCGCUGAAAUUACAGGACCGGACACUAUGUCUGGGAAGAAUUUGUGCACUGGAGCAAAUGAUUUAGGGGUAUACAGAUUAGUUGGGUGAGCACGGUGCUAUUGAGCUAACACUAGACCCUAUGUAAGAAACAUAUGG
Molecule: non-coding RNA, 1178 nt
Organism: Triticum urartu
Lineage: Eukaryota; Viridiplantae; Streptophyta; Magnoliopsida; Poales; Poaceae
Source: RefSeq, a predicted model, not a curated record